Molecule: transfer RNA, 72 nt
Filed under: Pangasius djambal
Lineage: Eukaryota; Metazoa; Chordata; Actinopteri; Siluriformes; Pangasiidae
Description: tRNA-Leu
Rfam family: tRNA
About the family: Transfer RNA (tRNA) molecules are approximately 80 nucleotides in length. Their secondary structure includes four short double-helical elements and three loops (D, anti-codon, and T loops). Further hydrogen bonds mediate the characteristic L-shaped molecular structure. tRNAs have two regions of fundamental functional importance: the anti-codon, which is responsible for specific mRNA codon recognition, and the 3' end, to which the tRNAs corresponding amino acid is attached (by aminoacyl-tRNA synthetases). tRNAs cope with the degeneracy of the genetic code in two manners: having more than one tRNA (with a specific anti-codon) for a particular amino acid; and 'wobble' base-pairing, i.e. permitting non-standard base-pairing at the 3rd anti-codon position.
Source: RNAcentral
UCCCUGGAGGACUAGUGGUUAGGCCUCGUCGCUCUAACUGCCGUGUCCCGGGUUCGAUUCCCAGCCAGGGAA